RNAcentral lists this ribosomal RNA (381 nucleotides) under uncultured bacterium. Its description in RNAcentral is "bacterial SSU rRNA". It matches the Rfam family "Bacterial small subunit ribosomal RNA", at positions 29 to 412 of the family's 1533-position model. The record is from RNAcentral.
AUUGAACGCUGGCGGCAUGCCUUACACAUGCAAGUCGAACGGCAGCACGGGAGCAAUCCUGGUGGCGAGUGGCGAACGGGUGAGUAAUACAUCGGAACGUGCCCAGUAGUGGGGGAUAACCCGGCGAAAGCCGGACUAAUACCGCAUACGACCUAUGGGUGAAAGCAGGGGAUCGCAAGACCUUGCGCUAUCGGAGCGGCCGAUGUCAGAUUAGCUUGNGGUGGGGUAAAAGCCCACCAAGGCGACGAUCUGUAGCUGGUCUGAGAGGACGACCAGCCACACUGGGACUGAGACACGGCCCAGACUCCUACGGGAGGCAGCAGUGGGGAAUUUUGGACAAUGGGCGCAAGCCUGAUCCAGCCAUGCCGCGUGCGGGAAGAA